Molecule: ribosomal RNA, 379 nt
Filed under: uncultured bacterium
Lineage: Bacteria
Description: partial 16S ribosomal RNA
Rfam family: Bacterial small subunit ribosomal RNA
Source: RNAcentral
CCUACGGGGGACAGCAGUGGGGAAUAUUGCACAAUGGGGGAAACCCUGAUGCAGCGACGCCGCGUGAGUGAAGAAGUAUCUCGGUACGUAAAGCUCUAUCAGCAGGGAAGAAAAUGACGGUACCUGACUAUUAACCCCCGGAUAACUACGUCCCAGAAGCCGCGGUCAUACGGAGGGGGCAAGCGUUAGCCGGAUUUACUGGGUGUAAAGGGAGCGGAGACGGCUGCACAAGUCUGGUGUGAAGUCCCCGGGCUUAACCCCGGAACUGCUUUGGAAACUGGGAGGCUGGAGUGCAGGAGGGGUAAGUGGAAUUCCAAGUGUAGCGGUGAAAUGCGUAGAGAUUAGGAGGAAUACCGGUGGCGAAGGCGGCUUACUGGAC